AGUGAACGCUGGCGGCAGGCCUAACACAUGCAAGUCGAACGGCAGCACAGUAAGAGCUUGCCCUUACGGGUGGCGAGUGGCGGACGGGUGAGGAAUACAUCGGAAUCUACUUUUUCGUGGGGGAUAACGUAGGGAAACUUACGCUAAUACCGCAUACGACCUACGGGUGAAAGCAGGGGAUCUUCGGACCUUGCGCGAUUGAAUGAGCCGAUGUCGGAUUAGCUAGUUGGCGGGGUAAAGGCCCACCAAGGCGACGAUCCGUAGCUGGUCUGAGAGGAUGAUCCGCCACACUGGAACUGAGACACGGUCCAGACUCCUACGGGAGGCAGCAGUGGGGAAUAUUGGACAAUGGGCGCAAGCCUGAUCCAGCCAUACCGCGUGGGUGAAGAAGGCCUUCGGGUUGUAAAGCCCUUUUGUUGGGAAAGAAAAGCAGCGGGUUAAUACCCCGCUGUUCUGACGGUACCCAAAGAAUAAGCACCGGCUAACUUCGUG
This 492-nucleotide ribosomal RNA is filed under the name uncultured bacterium. RNAcentral's name for it is "partial 16S ribosomal RNA". It matches the Rfam family "Bacterial small subunit ribosomal RNA", at positions 29 to 507 of the family's 1533-position model. The record is from RNAcentral.